RNAcentral lists this ribosomal RNA (253 nucleotides) under uncultured bacterium. RNAcentral describes it as "partial 16S ribosomal RNA". It matches the Rfam family "Bacterial small subunit ribosomal RNA", at positions 524 to 776 of the family's 1533-position model. The record is from RNAcentral.
UACGUAGGGGGCUAGCGUUGUCCGGAAUCAUUGGGCGUAAAGAGCGCGUAGGCGGCUAGAUAAGUCCGGUGUGAAAGUCACAGGCUCAACCUGUGAAUGCCGCUGGAAACUGCCUGGCUAGAGUCCGGAAGGGGCGAGUGGAAUUCCUGGUGUAGCGGUGAAAUGCGCAGAUAUCAGGAGGAACACCAAUGGCGAAGGCAGCUCGCUGGGCCGGUACUGACGCUGAGGCGCGAAAGCGUGGGGAGCGAACAGG